This 507-nucleotide ribosomal RNA is filed under the name uncultured bacterium. RNAcentral describes it as "bacterial SSU rRNA". It matches the Rfam family "Bacterial small subunit ribosomal RNA", at positions 438 to 960 of the family's 1533-position model. The record is from RNAcentral.
CUGAGAGAUGAGCAAGGACAGUAUCUCAGGAAUAAGUCUCGGCUAACUACGUGCCAGCAGCCGCGGUAAAACGUAGGAGGCAAGCGUUAUCCGGAUUCACUGGGCGUAAAGCGCGUGCAGGCGGUUCGGUAAGUUGGGUAUGAAAUCUCCUGGCUUAACUAGGAGAGGUUAUCCAAUACUACCGGACCUGAGAGUGGUAGAGGGGGUGGAAUUCCACGUGUAGCAGUGAAAAUGCGUAGAGAUGUGGAGGAACACCGAUGGCGAAGGCAGCCCCCUGGGCCAAUACUGACGCUCAUGCACGAAAGCGUGGGGAGCAAACAGGAUUAGAUACCCUGGUAGUCCACGCCCUAAACGAUGUCAACUAGGUGUUGGGAGGGUUAAACCUUUUAGUGCCGUAGCUAACGCGUGAAGUUGACCGCCUGGGGAGUACGGCCGCAAGGCUAAAACUCAAAGGAAUUGACGGGGACCCGCACAAGCGGUGGAUGAUGUGGAUUAAUUCGAUGCAAC